GGAAUCUUCGGCAAUGGACGAAAGUCUGACCGAGCAACGCCGCGUGAGUGAAGAAGGUUUUCGGAUCGUAAAACUCUGUUGGUAGAGAAGAACGUUGGUGAGAGUGGAAAGCUCAUCAAGUGACGGUAACUACCCAGAAAGGGACGGCUAACUACGUCCAG
RNAcentral lists this ribosomal RNA (161 nucleotides) under uncultured bacterium. RNAcentral describes it as "partial 16S ribosomal RNA". It matches the Rfam family "Bacterial small subunit ribosomal RNA", at positions 358 to 511 of the family's 1533-position model. The record is from RNAcentral.